UACAGAGGGUGCAAGCGUUGUUCGGAAUUAUUGGGCGUAAAGGGCGUGUAGGUGGUUUUGUAAGUCUGGCGUGAAAUUUUUCGGCUUAACCGGGAAAGGUCGUCGGAUACUGCAAGGCUAGAGGACGGUAGAGGCGUGUGGAAUUCCGGGUGUAGCGGUGAAAUGCGUAGAUAUCCGGAGGAACACCGAUGGCGAAGGCAACCGCCUGGGCCUGUACUGACGCUGAGAGACGAAAGCUAGGGGAGCGAAUGGG
This 253-nucleotide ribosomal RNA is filed under the name uncultured bacterium. RNAcentral's name for it is "partial 16S ribosomal RNA". It matches the Rfam family "Bacterial small subunit ribosomal RNA", at positions 524 to 776 of the family's 1533-position model. The record is from RNAcentral.